GAGCGGCGGACGGGUGAGUAAUGCCUAGGGAUCUGCCCAGUCGUGGGGGAUAACAGUUGGAAACGACUGCUAAUACCGCAUACGCCCUACGGGGGAAAGGAGGGGACCUUCGGGCCUUCCGCGAUUGGAUGAACCUAGGUGGGAUUAGCUAGUUGGUGAGGUAAUGGCUCACCAAGGCGACGAUCCCUAGCUGUUCUGAGAGGAUGAUCAGCCACACUGGGACUGAGACACGGCCCAGACUCCUACGGGAGGCAGCAGUGGGGAAUAUUGCACAAUGGGGGAAACCCUGAUGCAGCCAUGCCGCGUGUGUGAAGAAGGCCUUCGGGUUGUAAAGCACUUUCAGUAGGGAGGAAAG
This 355-nucleotide ribosomal RNA is filed under the name bacterium SM60. RNAcentral's name for it is "bacterial SSU rRNA". It matches the Rfam family "Bacterial small subunit ribosomal RNA", at positions 93 to 451 of the family's 1533-position model. The record is from RNAcentral.